UCGAUUUGGGGAAUCUUGCACAAUGGGGGAAGCCCUGAUGCAGCGACGCCGCGUGAGCGAUGAAGCCCUUCGGGGUGUAAAGCUCUUUCGGCAGGGAAGAUGAUGACGGUACCUGCAGAAGCAGCUGCGGCUAACUACGUGCCAGCAGCCGCGGUAAUACGUAGGCAGCGAGCGUUGUUCGGAGUU
Molecule: ribosomal RNA, 186 nt
Filed under: uncultured Acidobacteriota bacterium
Lineage: Bacteria; Pseudomonadati; Acidobacteriota
Description: uncultured Acidobacteria bacterium partial 16S ribosomal RNA
Rfam family: Bacterial small subunit ribosomal RNA
Source: RNAcentral